GAUGAACGCUGGUGGCGUGCCUAAUACAUGCAAGUCGAGCGAACAGACGAGGAGCUUGCUCCUCUGACGUUAGCGGCGGACGGGUGAGUAACACGUGGAUAACCUACCUAUAAGACUGGGAUAACUUCGGGAAACCGGUGCUAAUACCGGAUAAUAUAUUGAACCGCAUGGUUCAAUAGUGAAAGACGGUUUUGCUGUCACUUAUAGAUGGAUCCGCGCCGCAUUAGCUAGUUGGUAAGGUAACGGCUUACCAAGGCAACGAUGCGUAGCCGACCUGAGAGGGUGAUCGGCCACACUGGAACUGAGACACGGUCCAGACUCCUACGGGAGGCAGCAGUAGGGAAUCUUCCGCAAUGGGCGAAAGCCUGACGGAGCAACGCCGCGUGAGUGAUGAAGGUCUUCGGAUCGUAAAACUCUGUUAUUAGGGAAGAACAAAUGUGUAAGUAACUAUGCACGUCUUGACGGUACCUAAUCAGAAAGCCACGGCUAACUACGUG
This 497-nucleotide ribosomal RNA is filed under the name uncultured bacterium. RNAcentral describes it as "partial 16S ribosomal RNA". It matches the Rfam family "Bacterial small subunit ribosomal RNA", at positions 28 to 507 of the family's 1533-position model. The record is from RNAcentral.